GGGUUGUGAGGUUAAGCGACUAAGCGUACACGGUGGAUGCCCUGGCAGUCAGAGGCGAUGAAGGACGUGCUAAUCUGCGAUAAGCGUCGGUAAGGUGAUAUGAACCGUUAUAACCGGCGAUUUCCGAAUGGGGAAACCCAGUGUGAUUCGUCACACUAUCAUUACGUGAAUACAUAGCGUAAUGAAGCGAACCGGGGGAACUGAAACAUCUAAGUACCCCGAGGAAAAGAAAUCAACCGAGAUUCCCCCAGUAGCGGCGAGCGAACGGGGAGCAGCCCAGAGUCUGAAUCAGCUUGUGUGUUAGUGGAACGGUCUGGAAAGUCCGACGGUACAGGGUGAUAGUCCCGUACACCAAAAUGCACAGGUUGUGAACUCGAAGAGUAGGGCGGGACACGUGGUAUCCUGUCUGAAUAUGGGGGGACCAUCCUCCAAGGCUAAAUACUCCUGACUGACCGAUAGUGAACCAGUACCGUGAGGGAAAGGCGAAAAGAACCCCGGCGAGGGGAGUGAAAAAGAACCUGAAACCGUGUACGUACAAGCAGUGGGAGCAUCCUUUUGGGUGUGACUGCGUACCUUUUGUAUAAUGGGUCAGCGACUUAUAUUCUGUAGCAAGGUUAACCGUAUAGGGGAGCCGAAGGGAAACCGAGUCUUAACUGGGCGUUAAGUUGCAGGGUAUAGACCCGAAACCCGGUGAUCUAGCCAUGGGCAGGUUGAAGGUUGGGUAACACUAACUGGAGGACCGAACCGACUAAUGUUGAAAAAUUAGCGGAUGACUUGUGGCUGGGGGUGAAAGGCCAAUCAAACCGGGAGAUAGCUGGUUCUCCCCGAAAGCUAUUUAGGUAGCGCCUCGUGAAUUCAUCUUCGGGGGUAGAGCACUGUUUCGGCUAGGGGGUCAUCCCGACUUACCAACCCGAUGCAAACUGCGAAUACCGAAGAAUGUUAUCACGGGAGACACACGGCGGGUGCUAACGUCCGUCGUGAAGAGGGAAACAACCCAGACCGCCAGCUAAGGUCCCAAAGUCAUGGUUAAGUGGGAAACGAUGUGGGAAGGCACAGACAGCCAGGAUGUUGGCUUAGAAGCAGCCAUCAUUUAAAGAAAGCGUAAUAGCUCACUGGUCGAGUCGGCCUGCGCGGAAGAUGUAACGGGGCUAAACCAUGCACCGAAGCUGCGGCAGCGACACUAUGUGUUGUUGGGUAGGGGAGCGUUCUGUAAGCCGUUGAAGGUGUAUCGUGAGGUAUGCUGGAGGUAUCAGAAGUGCGAAUGCUGACAUAAGUAACGAUAAUGCGGGUGAAAAACCCGCACGCCGGAAGACCAAGGGUUCCUGUCCAACGUUAAUCGGGGCAGGGUGAGUCGACCCCUAAGGCGAGGCCGAAAGGCGUAGUCGAUGGGAAACAGGUUAAUAUUCCUGUACUUGGUGUUACUGCGAAGGGGGGACGGAGAAGGCUAUGUUAGCCGGGCGACGGUUGUCCCGGUUUAAGCAUGUAGGCGGAGGUUCCAGGUAAAUCCGGUACCUUUUUAACGCUGAGGUGUGAUGACGAGGCACUACGGUGCUGAAGUAACAAAUGCCCUGCUUCCAGGAAAAGCCUCUAAGCAUCAGGUAACACGAAAUCGUACCCCAAACCGACACAGGUGGUCAGGUAGAGAAUACCAAGGCGCUUGAGAGAACUCGGGUGAAGGAACUAGGCAAAAUGGUGCCGUAACUUCGGGAGAAGGCACGCUGAUAUGUAGGUGAAGUGAUUUACUCAUGGAGCUGAAAUCAGUCGAAGAUACCAGCUGGCUGCAACUGUUUAUUAAAAACACAGCACUGUGCAAACACGAAAGUGGACGUAUACGGUGUGACGCCUGCCCGGUGCCGGAAGGUUAAUUGAUGGGGUUAUCCGUAAGGAGAAGCUCUUGAUCGAAGCCCCGGUAAACGGCGGCCGUAACUAUAACGGUCCUAAGGUAGCGAAAUUCCUUGUCGGGUAAGUUCCGACCUGCACGAAUGGCGUAAUGAUGGCCAGGCUGUCUCCACCCGAGACUCAGUGAAAUUGAACUCGCUGUGAAGAUGCAGUGUACCCGCGGCAAGACGGAAAGACCCCGUGAACCUUUACUAUAGCUUGACACUGAACACUGGUCCUUGAUGUGUAGGAUAGGUGGGAGGCUUUGAAGUGUGGACGCCAGUCUGCAUGGAGCCAUCCUUGAAAUACCACCCUUUAAUGGCUGGUGUUCUAACGUGGACCCGUAAUCCGGGUUGCGGACAGUGUCUGGUGGGUAGUUUGACUGGGGCGGUCUCCUCCUAAAGAGUAACGGAGGAGCACGAAGGUUAGCUAAUCCUGGUCGGACAUCAGGAGGUUAGUGCAAAGGCAUAAGCUAGCUUGACUGCGAGAGUGACGGCUCGAGCAGGUGCGAAAGCAGGUCUUAGUGAUCCGGUGGUUCUGAAUGGAAGGGCCAUCGCUCAACGGAUAAAAGGUACUCCGGGGAUAACAGGCUGAUACCGCCCAAGAGUUCAUAUCGACGGCGGUGUUUGGCACCUCGAUGUCGGCUCAUCACAUCCUGGGGCUGAAGUAGGUCCCAAGGGUAUGGCUGUUCGCCAUUUAAAGUGGUACGCGAGCUGGGUUUAGAACGUCGUGAGACAGUUCGGUCCCUAUCUGCCGUGGGCGCUGGAGAAUUGAGGGGGGCUGCUCCUAGUACGAGAGGACCGGAGUGGACGCAUCACUGGUGUUCGGGUUGUCAUGCCAAUGGCAUUGCCCGGUAGCUAAAUGCGGAAGAGAUAAGUGCUGAAAGCAUCUAAGCACGAAACUUGCCCCGAGAUGAGUUCUCCCUGAGACUUUAAGUCUCCUGAAGGAACGUUGAAGACGACGACGUUGAUAGGUCGGGUGUGUAAGUGUAGCGAUACAUUGAGCUAACCGAUACUAAUGAACCGUGAGGCUUAACCUUACAACGCCGAAG
This 2929-nucleotide ribosomal RNA is filed under the name Citrobacter freundii. RNAcentral describes it as "23S ribosomal RNA". It matches the Rfam family "Bacterial large subunit ribosomal RNA". Lineage: Bacteria; Pseudomonadati; Pseudomonadota; Gammaproteobacteria; Enterobacterales; Enterobacteriaceae. RNAcentral also lists the same sequence under 1 other name. The record is from RNAcentral.